AGUGAACGCUGGCGGUAGGCCUAACACAUGCAAGUCGAACGGCAGCACAGUAAGAGCUUGCUCUUACGGGUGGCGAGUGGCGGACGGGUGAGGAAUACAUCGGAAUCUACUUUUUCGUGGGGGAUAACGUAGGGAAACUUACGCUAAUACAGCAUACGACCUACGGGUGAAAGCAGGGGAUCUUCGGACCUUGCGCGAUUGAAUGAGCCGAUGUCGGAUUAGCUAGUUGGCGGGGUAAAGGCCCAGCAAGGCGACGAUCCGUAGCUGGUCUGAGAGGAUGAUCAGCCACACUGGAACUGAGACACGGUCCAGACUCCUACGGGAGGCAGCAGUGGGGAAUAUUGGACAAUGGGCGCAAGCCUGAUCCAGCCAUACCGCGUGGGUGAAGAAGGCCUUCGGGUUGUAAAGCCCUUUUGUUGGGAAAGAAAAGCAGCAGGUUAAUACCCCGCUGUUCUGACGGUACCCAAAGAAUAAGCACCGGCUAACUUCGUG
This 492-nucleotide ribosomal RNA is filed under the name uncultured bacterium. Its description in RNAcentral is "partial 16S ribosomal RNA". It matches the Rfam family "Bacterial small subunit ribosomal RNA", at positions 29 to 507 of the family's 1533-position model. The record is from RNAcentral.